Molecule: ribosomal RNA, 719 nt
Filed under: uncultured bacterium
Lineage: Bacteria
Description: bacterial SSU rRNA
Rfam family: Bacterial small subunit ribosomal RNA
Source: RNAcentral
CGAACGGUAACAUAAAGAAGCUCGCUUCUUUGAUGACGAGUGGCGGACGGGUGAGUAAUGCUUGGGAAUCUAGCUUAUGGAGGGGGAUAACUACGGGAAACUGUAGCUAAUACCGCGUAAUAUCGAAAGAUUAAAGUGUGGGACCUUCGGGCCACAUGCCAUAGGAUGAGCCCAAGUGGGAUUAGGUAGUUGGUGAGGUAAAGGCUCACCAAGCCGACGAUCUCUAGCUGGUCUGAGAGGAUGACCAGCCACACUGGGACUGAGACACGGCCCAGACUCCUACGGGAGGCAGCAGUGGGGAAUAUUGCGCAAUGGGGGCAACCCUGACGCAGCCAUGCCGCGUGAAUGAAGAAGGCCUUCGGGUUGUAAAGUUCUUUCGGUAGCGAGGAAGGCAUUUAGUUUAAUAGACUAGAUGAUUGACGUUAACUACAGAAGAAGCACCGGCUAACUCCGUGCCAGCAGCCGCGGUAAUACGGAGGGUGCGAGCGUUAAUCGGAAUAACCGGGCGUAAAGGGCACGCAGGCGGACUUUUAAGUGAGGUGUGAAAGCCCCGGGCUUAACCUGGGAAUUGCAUUUCAGACUGGGAGUCUAGAGUACUUUAGGGAGGGGUAGAAUUCCACGUGUAGCGGUGAAAUGCGUAGAGAUGUGGAGGAAUACCGAAGGCGAAGGCAGCCCCUUGGGAAUGUACUGACGCUCAUGUGCGAAAGCGUGGGGAGCAA